Molecule: ribosomal RNA, 253 nt
Filed under: uncultured bacterium
Lineage: Bacteria
Description: partial 16S ribosomal RNA
Rfam family: Bacterial small subunit ribosomal RNA
Source: RNAcentral
UACAGAGGGUGCGAGCGUUAAUCGGAAUUACUGGGCGUAAAGCGCGCGUAGGCGGCUUUGCAAGUCGGGUGUGAAAUCCCCAGGCUUAACCUGGGAACUGCAUUCGAGACUGCAUUGCUAGAGUAUGGGAGAGGGAAGUGGAAUUUCCGGUGUAGCGGUGAAAUGCGCAGAUAUCGGAAGGAACAUCAGUGGCGAAAGCGACUUCCUGGACCAAUACUGACGCUCAUGUGCGAAAGCGUGGGGAGCAAACAGG